AAAGUCUAAGAAUUAAGGGGAAAAAACAGUUUCCUGGUUAUGCAACAGUACAGCCUGGAAUUGAUGUGUUAACUCCAUUGGCUGAAAACACAUGGGCGUAUUUUACACCUUGAUUUUAGCUUGCAUGUUCAUUGUCCUUAGACAUUUGCACUCGAGUAUACAUGUAACUGAGCAGUUAAGCACAUUUCACACAUAACACAUCUUAAUGACAUUCCCAACCAUUAAAAGCAGUCUGAAUACGAAGCAAAAAGAGGUUUAUCGCACUUGUAUCAAAAAACACGCCCUAGCUGAGGCAGUAAAUGUAUAUCACAACUGACCAGAUAAACACAUUUCUCACAUCUUGGCAGUAAAUGUAUAUCACAACUGACCAGAUAAACACAUUUCUCACAUCUUGGUGAGAUUCCUAACCAUUAAAAGCUGUCUGAAUACGAAGCAAAAAGAGGUUUAUCGCACUUGUAUCAAAAACACACCCUUAGCUGAGGCAGUAAAUGUAUAUCACAACUGACCAGAUAAACACAUUUCUCACAUCUUGGUGAGAUUCCUAACCAUUAAAAGCUGUCUGAAUACGAAGCAAAAAGAGGUUUAUCACACUUGUAUAAAAAU
Long non-coding RNA from Dermacentor silvarum, 603 nucleotides. RefSeq lists it as uncharacterized. NCBI's taxonomy places the organism in Eukaryota, Metazoa, Arthropoda, Arachnida, Ixodida, Ixodidae. The transcript is spliced from 3 exons. The record is from RefSeq and is a predicted model, not a curated record.